This 513-nucleotide RNase MRP RNA is filed under the name Nadsonia fulvescens var. elongata DSM 6958. RNAcentral's name for it is "RNase MRP". It matches the Rfam family "RNase MRP". From Rfam's summary of the family: RNase MRP is an enzymatically active ribonucleoprotein with two distinct roles in eukaryotes. In mitochondria it plays a direct role in the initiation of mitochondrial DNA replication. Lineage: Eukaryota; Fungi; Ascomycota; Dipodascomycetes; Dipodascales. The record is from Rfam by way of RNAcentral.
AAGUCUUAUACUAAGAAUUGCUUUCGAAGCUUACAAACGAACUAGAACUUAUUUGGUUAUCAUAUUGCUUUGGGGAAAGUCUCCGGUCAAAAGCGGAAACGUAUUGAGUUCAUUCUACUCUUUGAGUUACUGAAAUUACGACUUGGUUAUGAAAUUAGUGAUUCAAUGACAUGCAGUGAUGAAGACGUUUUUGACUGUUUAUUUUAUGUUGCUUCCUUUGUAUAACGAAGCCUGUGACUAUCGUUUACGAUUUUUACUGUUAUCGUUAGAUAAAGCAUAAUUUAAUCAACAGAAUUAUUUUCUUUCGACUUUAGUUGAUCAUUGCUUGGAAGCGGUUGUCUAAUUUUGUUUCCUAUAAGUAGUGUUUUCAUUGACUUCGUUCUUUCGGGAAUAAGUUUUCGACGUUGAGUGUUCAUUGAACGCACUCAGACGAUAGUUAUGCAAUUGCCUCGUAGAUAUUAUACUUGUAUUAUAUCUCUUGGUACCACAAUGGAGCUUACUUGGUAUAAGACU